Molecule: ribosomal RNA, 298 nt
Filed under: Xenopsylla ramesis
Lineage: Eukaryota; Metazoa; Arthropoda; Insecta; Siphonaptera; Pulicidae
Description: partial 12S ribosomal RNA
Source: RNAcentral
AUAUUUAAGUAGUAUUAGUUAUAUGCUUGAAAUUUAAAAAAUUUGGCGGUAUUUUAAUCUUAUUAGAGGAACUUGUUCUGUAAUCGAUAUUCCACGUUAAAUUUUACUAAAUUAUUUGUAUAUCGUUGUCUAAAGAAUAAAUUUUCAAAAAUUUUAAUUUAAAUUUAUGUCAAAUCAAGGUGCAGUUUAUAAUUUAGAAGAAAUGGGUUACAAUAAAAUUAUUUAGGAUUUUAUUAAAGGUGGAUUUAAUAGUAAAUUAGUUUUAAUAAAAUUAAUUGAUUUAAGUUCUAAAAUAUGU